This 1447-nucleotide ribosomal RNA is filed under the name Salmonella enterica subsp. enterica serovar Give. RNAcentral's name for it is "partial 23S ribosomal RNA". It matches the Rfam family "Bacterial large subunit ribosomal RNA", at positions 1517 to 2925 of the family's 2925-position model. Lineage: Bacteria; Pseudomonadati; Pseudomonadota; Gammaproteobacteria; Enterobacterales; Enterobacteriaceae. The record is from RNAcentral.
CGUGUAGGUGUGUGUUCCAGGUAAAUCCGGUUCACUUUAACACUGAGGCGUGACGACGAGGCACUACGGUGCUGAAGCAACAAAUGCCCUGCUUCCAGGAAAAGCCUCUAAGCAUCAGGUAACAUCAAAUCGUACCCCAAACCGACACAGGUGGUCAGGUAGAGAAUACCAAGGCGCUUGAGAGAACUCGGGUGAAGGAACUAGGCAAAAUGGUGCCGUAACUUCGGGAGAAGGCACGCUGACACGUAGGUGAAGUGAUUUACUCAUGGAGCUGAAGUCAGUCGAAGAUACCAGCUGGCUGCAACUGUUUAUUAAAAACACAGCACUGUGCAAACACGAAAGUGGACGUAUACGGUGUGACGCCUGCCCGGUGCCGGAAGGUUAAUUGAUGGGGUCAGCGCAAGCGAAGCUCCUGAUCGAAGCCCCGGUAAACGGCGGCCGUAACUAUAACGGUCCUAAGGUAGCGAAAUUCCUUGUCGGGUAAGUUCCGACCUGCACGAAUGGCGUAAUGAUGGCCAGGCUGUCUCCACCCGAGACUCAGUGAAAUUGAACUCGCUGUGAAGAUGCAGUGUACCCGCGGCAAGACGGAAAGACCCCGUGAACCUUUACUAUAGCUUGACACUGAACAUUGAGCCUUGAUGUGUAGGAUAGGUGGGAGGCUUUGAAGUGUGGACGCCAGUCUGCAUGGAGCCGACCUUGAAAUACCACCCUUUAAUGUUUGAUGUUCUAACGUGGACCCGUGAUCCGGGUUGCGGACAGUGUCUGGUGGGUAGUUUGACUGGGGCGGUCUCCUCCUAAAGAGUAACGGAGGAGCACGAAGGUUGGCUAAUCCUGGUCGGACAUCAGGAGGUUAGUGCAAUGGCAUAAGCCAGCUUGACUGCGAGCGUGACGGCGCGAGCAGGUGCGAAAGCAGGUCAUAGUGAUCCGGUGGUUCUGAAUGGAAGGGCCAUCGCUCAACGGAUAAAAGGUACUCCGGGGAUAACAGGCUGAUACCGCCCAAGAGUUCAUAUCGACGGCGGUGUUUGGCACCUCGAUGUCGGCUCAUCACAUCCUGGGGCUGAAGUAGGUCCCAAGGGUAUGGCUGUUCGCCAUUUAAAGUGGUACGCGAGCUGGGUUUAGAACGUCGUGAGACAGUUCGGUCCCUAUCUGCCGUGGGCGCUGGAGAACUGAGGGGGGCUGCUCCUAGUACGAGAGGACCGGAGUGGACGCAUCACUGGUGUUCGGGUUGUCAUGCCAAUGGCACUGCCCGGUAGCUAAAUGCGGAAGAGAUAAGUGCUGAAAGCAUCUAAGCACGAAACUUGCCCCGAGAUGAGUUCUCCCUGAGACUUAAAGUCUCCUGAAGGAACGUUGAAGACGACGACGUUGAUAGGCCGGGUGUGUAAGCGCAGCGAUGCGUUGAGCUAACCGGUACUAAUGAACCGUGAGGCUUAACCUUACAACGCCGAAG